AAAUAUUCGUGACUCAUCUAAACUAAUUCCACAUCAUGUUUAAGGAAUUGAAAGAGAAACCAGUUAAAUUUGCCGCGAGAAGCUCAUCAAAAAACAUCAAACUUUUUUGUCUUGCGAGACUCAUGAUAUCACUUUUAUUCCAGUGAUACACGGUUAGAUCAUAUAAUUCUUCUCUUCCAGUCCUUUAACAUGAUGAAAUUUCAGCGAAACCACAACUAGCUACAAUGCACUCAAGCUGUUCGAUGAAAUUCCAAAUUGGUGGUGGAGACGUUGUUCCUGCGUUAAAAUUUGAGGCUUUUAUUUCAACUGCUACAAGCUCAUAUUUCCAAAAGGAUUCAUGUAAACUCGAUCAUCUUCAACUCUUCCAUGUUAAAUUUCAUUCCUUCCAAUUCCAACUUUCUAAAAUCACAACAUAUUAUUAUCUUCUAAGGCAGAGAUGUCAAACUAUUGACAUUUUGUCCACUGUUAGAUUUCAGAUUAUUGUCGUAAUCCAUCUUUGAACUUCUUUCAGAUUCCCUUUGUUGCUAAUAAGAAGUAAUGAUGAUUUGAAUUUUGUUCAGCCUUUCAGUAAUGACCGAUUGAUUUGUGAAUUAGCUCAGUUUUUCAAAUGUAUCUCUUAUGAUUGUCUUGCUUAGUGACUUGAGCGCUCGUCAUGUUGCGUCUAGAAUGAUUGAUAUUCUUAUUGGUCUUUUUAUUAUGCAAUAUUUAUGUUUGCAUUACUGCCGUCAGUUACAUUCUAUUAGAACAAAGAUUAUAUGCCUGAGGUUUUCAUUAUCAUGGAUUUUGUGUUUUCCAUUUCUCUUAUGUUCCUUAAUCAAACUUUACUUGUAGGCCACAUAUAUUUGGUUUGGAGAAACAAAUUUAAGAUCAAUAAAACAGACUUCUACACCUCCAAGAGAUGAUUAACACUCUAGCUUCUAAAAAAUUAAG
RNAcentral lists this long non-coding RNA (930 nucleotides) under Salvia miltiorrhiza (redroot sage). RNAcentral describes it as "long non-coding RNA (SMIL_LNC006755)". Lineage: Eukaryota; Viridiplantae; Streptophyta; Magnoliopsida; Lamiales; Lamiaceae. The record is from RNAcentral.